GACGAACGCUGGCGGCGUGCUUAACACAUGCAAGUCGAACGGUAAGGCCCUUCUUUUGUGGGGUGCUUGAGUGGCGAACGGGUGAGUAACACGUGAGUAACCUGCCCUUGACUUUGGGAUAACUUCAGGAAACUGGGGCUAAUACCGGAUAGGCGCUCCUGCUGCAUGGUGGGGGUUGGAAAGUUUGGGCGGUUGGGGAUGGACUCGCGGCUUAUCAGCUUGUUGGUGGGGUAGUGGCUUACCAAGGCUUUGACGGGUAGCCGGCCUGAGAGGGUGACCGGCCACAAUGGGACUGAGAGACGGCCCAGACUCCUACGGGAGGCAGCAGUGGGGAAUAUUGCACAAUGGGCGGAAGCCUGAUGCAGCAACGCCGCGUGCGGGAUGACGGCCUUCGGGUUGUAAACCGCUUUCGCCUGUGACGAAGCGUGAGUGACGGUAAUGGGUAAAGAAGCACCGGCUAACUACGUG
This 468-nucleotide ribosomal RNA is filed under the name uncultured bacterium. Its description in RNAcentral is "partial 16S ribosomal RNA". It matches the Rfam family "Bacterial small subunit ribosomal RNA", at positions 28 to 507 of the family's 1533-position model. The record is from RNAcentral.